RNAcentral lists this ribosomal RNA (622 nucleotides) under uncultured bacterium. RNAcentral's name for it is "bacterial SSU rRNA". It matches the Rfam family "Bacterial small subunit ribosomal RNA", at positions 202 to 842 of the family's 1533-position model. The record is from RNAcentral.
CAAAGGAGCAAUCCGCUGAAAGACGGGCUCGCGUCCGAUUAGGUAGUUGGUGAGGUAACGGCCCACCAAGCCGACGAUCGGUAGCCGGACUGAGAGGUUGGACGGCCACAUUGGGACUGAGACACGGCCCAGACUCCUACGGGAGGCAGCAGUAAGGGAUAUUGGUCAAUGGGGGAAACCCUGAACCAGCAACGCCGCGUGAGGGAAGACGGUUUUCGGAUUGUAAACCUCUGUCCUCUGUGAAGAUGAUGACGGUAGCAGAGGAGGAAGCUCCGGCUAACUACGUGCCAGCAGCCGCGGUAAUACGUAGGGAGCGAGCGUUGUCCGGAUUUACUGGGUGUAAAGGGUGCGUAGGCGGCUGUGCAAGUCAGUAGUGAAAUCCAUGGGCUUAACCCAUGAACUGCUAUUGAAACUGCACAGCUUGAGUGAAGUAGAGGUAGGCGGAAUUCCCGGUGUAGCGGUGAAAUGCGUAGAGAUCGGGAGGAACACCAGUGGCGAAGGCGGCCUACUGGGCUUUAACUGACGCUGAGGCACGAAAGCGUGGGUAGCAAACAGGAUUAGAUACCCUGGUAGUCCACGCUGUAAACGAUGAUUACUAGGUGUGGGGGGACUGAACCCUUCC